RNAcentral lists this ribosomal RNA (468 nucleotides) under Veillonella parvula. RNAcentral describes it as "bacterial SSU rRNA". It matches the Rfam family "Bacterial small subunit ribosomal RNA", at positions 28 to 472 of the family's 1533-position model. Lineage: Bacteria; Bacillati; Bacillota; Negativicutes; Veillonellales; Veillonellaceae. The record is from RNAcentral.
GACGAACGCUGGCGGCGUGCUUAACACAUGCAAGUCGAACGAAGAGCGACGGAAGCUUGCUUCUAUCAAUCUUAGUGGCGAACGGGUGAGUAACGCGUAAUCAACCUGCCCUUCAGAGGGGGACAACAGUUGGAAACGACUGCUAAUACCGCAUACGAUCUAAUCUCGGCAUCGAGGAUAGAUGAAAGGUGGCCUCUACAUGUAAGCUAUCACUGAAGGAGGGGAUUGCGUCUGAUUAGCUAGUUGGAGGGGUAACGGCCCACCAAGGCGAUGAUCAGUAGCCGGUCUGAGAGGAUGAACGGCCACAUUGGGACUGAGACACGGCCCAGACUCCUACGGGAGGCAGCAGUGGGGAAUCUUCCGCAAUGGACGAAAGUCUGACGGAGCAACGCCGCGUGAGUGAUGACGGCCUUCGGGUUGUAAAGCUCUGUUAAUCGGGACGAAAGGCCUUCUUGCGAAUAGUGAGAA